This 447-nucleotide ribosomal RNA is filed under the name uncultured bacterium. RNAcentral's name for it is "bacterial SSU rRNA". It matches the Rfam family "Bacterial small subunit ribosomal RNA", at positions 330 to 794 of the family's 1533-position model. The record is from RNAcentral.
CCCAGACUCCUACGGGAGGCAGCAGUGGGGAAUAUUGCACAAUGGGGGGAACCCUGAUGCAGCGACGCCGCGUGGGUGAAGGAGUACUUCGGUACGUAAAGCCCUAUCAGCAGGAAAGAAAAUGACGGUACCUGACUAAGAAGCCCCGGCUAACUACGUGCCAGCAGCCGCGGUAAUACGUAGGGGGCAAGCGUUAUCCGGAUUUACUGGGUGUAAAGGGAGCGUAGACGGCAGUGCAAGUCCGGAGUGAAAGCCCGGGGCUCAACCCUGGGACUGCUCUGGAAACUGUAAAGCUGGAGUGCGGGAGGGGCAGGCGGAAUUCCUGGUGUAGCGGUGAAAUGCGUAGAUAUCAGGAGGAACACCGGCGGCGAAGGCGGCCUGCUGGACCGUAACUGACGUUGAGGCUCGAAAGCGUGGGGAGCAAACAGGAUUAGAUACCCGAGUACC